RNAcentral lists this transfer RNA (74 nucleotides) under Candidatus Aenigmatarchaeota archaeon. RNAcentral's name for it is "tRNA-Phe". It matches the Rfam family "tRNA". Rfam says of the family: Transfer RNA (tRNA) molecules are approximately 80 nucleotides in length. Their secondary structure includes four short double-helical elements and three loops (D, anti-codon, and T loops). Lineage: Archaea; Nanobdellati; Candidatus Aenigmatarchaeota. The record is from RNAcentral.
GGGGCGGUAGCUCAGCUUGGGAGAGCGCACGGCUGAAGACCGUGAUGUCGUGGGUUCAAACCCCACCCGCCCCA